GAGUGGUGCUACAGUGUCAUAUACGACGGUGAAGCAUCCACAACAGACCCCAACCUCGACCCCAACCCAGCAGAUCCGCGACCAACGAAAAUGCGGAACCGAAUCAGCAGUCCUCCUGUCUCAUCCCUCCAUCUGCAGGUUUUGUACAAGGGGUGCAUCCAAUUUCAAUCACUGGAACAUCAGGAGGUGAAGGCAACAACAUUGAUUCAUUCAUUGGAAACUUCCAAAUGCCCGGAGCACCUUCGUUAAAAUCCUACGUGUUCUGUUCCCUUUUCACCACCAGAGAAGCUUACACCUGUUGUGAAAGCCACACACCACACACCUGAUAGGUCGUCCGCCGGAACGAGAUGACAUCCAACUCACGGAUACUCCAACAGAUUUAGUCCACCUGAUUUGCAAGGUAGCGGUCAACACCCAUCAACAUUUGGCAAAACGGACGGAAACGGCUAGUGAUCUUCGCCGGUCGCUCUAUUCUAUCUACUUCUGUACCAUCCAAAGAGUCUGACUAUGGGUAAAACUGCAUACGACGAUGACAACAGAGGUGAAAAUGAUGCAACUAGAAAUUAUGGACGCAAUCGACCUGGUGGUGGAACCGCUGAGUGGAAGCGGUCGAAUGGAAGGACAUAUAUGCCUAAGUGAUCCUAAAGAUUGAUUAUGUAAAGAGGAUGGCAUUGUCCUUUCGUCUCAGAGUAGAAAGUUUAAUAUGGGAUUUGCUGCACGAAGCUUGAACUUUGGAGGAGGGCUGCUAUGCCCUGAACGAAACAUCUUUGGAGGCAGAGAAUGACGUAGUGGCAGUGGUCGCUGGAUGUGUCUUGGUACUGCUGACCAGAUAUGGAUGCACCGGAAAGUAAUAAUUAUCGUGCGCAAGGUAAUAGCUACCGAGAAAGAGAGCGAAAUAUUCGCGACAUUGCCCGAGGCCGAGAGAAAUCUAAACGAUAUAGAUUCCUGAUUCGCACGGAGGAUCAAUUACAAUUUCGAUAAUUACAAUGAUCAUUAUCAUCUAUAUGAUCACAAGCGUCGUCGAGACGAGAAUGGGCUUCCAUAAACUUCAAUUUCCGCCAAUACAGCCACCGGAAAUCUGCUACUCUACCUAUAAGGCAUAGAUCCUGCUUUCCCCUGUCCAACAGUAACCAGUAGCUCCGAUAUGGUGUUCCAGUCAGCAAGUUUUAAAAUCAUGGAUUAUGUACUGCAUCUUUUUGAAAUAUAAUUUUAAUAAAAAAUAAUACUUUUAAACAAUUAUUUAGAAAAUUUCAAUAUUUUGAAUGUAUCAAGCAAAAGCAAAACAAGGAAAAAUUACCCACAUUUGGGUGAAAUUUACUAAUAAACUCUUGUCAUUCAAGUACCUAUUUAUG
This is a long non-coding RNA of Armigeres subalbatus, 1352 nucleotides long. RefSeq lists it as uncharacterized. The transcript is spliced from 3 exons. NCBI's taxonomy places the organism in Eukaryota, Metazoa, Arthropoda, Insecta, Diptera, Culicidae. The record is from RefSeq and is a predicted model, not a curated record.